Molecule: ribosomal RNA, 628 nt
Filed under: uncultured bacterium
Lineage: Bacteria
Description: bacterial SSU rRNA
Rfam family: Bacterial small subunit ribosomal RNA
Source: RNAcentral
AGCUGAACCCAGCUUGCUGGGUGGAUGAGUGGCGAACGGGUGAGUAACACGUGAGUAACCUGCCCCCUUCUUUGGGAUACGCCCGGAAACGGGUGCUAAUACUGGAUAUUCACUGGCCUUCGCAUGGGGGUUGGUGGAAAGGUUUUUUCUGGUGGGGGAUGGGCUCGCGGCCUAUCAGCUUGUUGGUGGGGUGAUGGCCUACCAAGGCUUUGACGGGUAGCCGGCCUGAGAGGGUGACCGGUCACAUUGGGACUGAGAUACGGCCCAGACUCCUACGGGAGGCAGCAGUGGGGAAUAUUGCACAAUGGGCGAAAGCCUGAUGCAGCGACGCCGCGUGAGGGAUGACGGCCUUCGGGUUGUAAACCUCUUUCGCUCAUGGUCAAGCCGCGACAUUGGUUGUGGUGAGGGUAGUGGGUAAAGAAGCGCCGGCUAACUACGUGCCAGCAGCCGCGGUAAUACGUAGGGCGCGAGCGUUGUCCGGAAUUAUUGGGCGUAAAGGGCUUGUAGGCGGUUGGUCGCGUCUGCCGUGAAAUCCUCUGGCUUAACUGGGGGCGUGCGGUGGGUACGGGCUGACUUGAGUGCGGUAGGGGAGACUGGAACUCCUGGUGUAGCGGUGGAAUGCGCAGAU